GAUGAACGCUGGCGGCGUGCUUAACACAUGCAAGUCGAACGGUGAACACGGAGCUUGCUCUGUGGGAUCAGUGGCGAACGGGUGAGUAACACGUGAGCAACCUGCCCCUGACUCUGGGAUAAGCGCUGGAAACGGCGUCUAAUACUGGAUACGAGUAGCGGCCGCAUGGUCAGUUACUGGUAAGAGUUGUCGGUUGGGGAUGGGCUCGCGGCCUACCAGCUUGUUGGUGAGGUAAUGGCUCACCAAGGCGUCGACGGGUAGCCGGCUCUGUGGGGGUGACCGGCCACACUGGGACUGAGACACGGCCCAGACUCCUACGGGAGGCAGCAGUGGGGAAUAUUGCACAAUGGGCGAAAGCCUGAUGCAGCAACGCCGCGUGAGGGAUGACGGCCUUCGGGUUGUAAACCUCUUUUAGCAGGGAAGAAGCGAAAGUGACGGUACCUGCAGAAAAAGCGCCGGCUAACUACGUGCCAGCCGCCGCAGUAA
RNAcentral lists this ribosomal RNA (486 nucleotides) under uncultured bacterium. RNAcentral's name for it is "partial 16S ribosomal RNA". It matches the Rfam family "Bacterial small subunit ribosomal RNA", at positions 28 to 523 of the family's 1533-position model. The record is from RNAcentral.